CCUUAGAGGAGGGCUGGGACCUAAAUGCCAAUUAAGGCAGAGUCUGGAGUCAGCCUGGGGCAUCUCUGAGUGGUGCCCAAGGUGCUUUCCCUGUCACUGCUGCCCAGGAUCCCCACCAAACCCUUGGGGGCACUGGGAUUAUGGUGAUUGAACAUCCUUACUUCCCAGAUGAGGAAACUGAGGCACAGAGAGGUCAACUAAUCUGUUCCGUAUCAUGCAGGUCUUGCAUUCUUCCAGACGAGACACUUUGCCUUCUGAAAGAGCUCUGUUGGUGGACCUGCUUCUUCCAUCUGUUGAGCUUGUUGGAGAAAACAGGUGUUGGGAUGGGUAAAAACAAAGUCAACAAGCCGUGAGAUGUAGCCUUCCUGGCCUUUGCAAGAAUGACUCCAACAUGUGCAUAAAUAAUGGCUGCAUUAUGAGCCUGGUGCUUUAUUUAUAGCUAAUAGAUAAGUUCAUUUCCAACUGAUUGCUAUUAAUAUUCCAUUACUGACAUAUUGUUUUUACCGCUAUUUAAAGCUUCCAUGUGUGAGACGUGAAGGAUGCAGCAGGUCUCAGUGUAAAGGGGAGAACAUAGAGGAGAAAUGACUUUCUUGGCAGAAGCUAGACCUAGAAGAGAGCUAAGGAGGAUGCAUGCACAAGCAUGUGGAGGUCAGGCCAUCUGAGGACUAGUAGGAAAAAGGGGGAGGUUUAGCAAGGAGGGAGAAGAUUUAGGAACAUCUAAAGGGCUGUUAUUAAGGAUGUGAAGGG
Long non-coding RNA from Monodelphis domestica (gray short-tailed opossum), 747 nucleotides. The record is from Ensembl. NCBI's taxonomy places the organism in Eukaryota, Metazoa, Chordata, Mammalia, Didelphimorphia, Didelphidae.